Molecule: long non-coding RNA, 632 nt
Organism: Cyprinus carpio carpio
Lineage: Eukaryota; Metazoa; Chordata; Actinopteri; Cypriniformes; Cyprinidae
Source: Ensembl
UAAAAGAUCGAAAUAACUUGCACUAAUGAAUCAUUCAAAAUACUUUCUGACCAUUAAUGUGUAUUAACAAAAUAUCUACAUUCAGUUUUUAUUCAUGUUGGAUAUAAAGGGCAUUCCAGCAGGUAGACACGUGCAGAGACAUGCUGAGCAUGAGUGGCCACUUUAUUUACUGCUACAAGAGAUGCUGCAGACAGACUUUAGUCUUGUUUAGAGCAAGAUAGAGACCUUUCCCUUCCACUGACAUGAUGAAGGGAUGACUCAACUGUCUGUGAUGCACAGAAGGGUUUAACCCGUUCAUGAGUGGCAAGAACAGGCAGGACGCCCAGUGAUGACAGCAGCUUCCGUCUGACUCUUCAAGAGAACUUGUCAUGUCUCAUAUCACGUCUGCUGUCAGGACGCUUUACCUUCAUAGCAGUGCAUUCAAACCAGCCCUCACCCGCUAACUCUCUGUCGCAGCACACAGAUGCCACGGGCUCUCUCUGUUUGCUCUGAGUGCAUGAUGGUCAGUGUUAGUCAUCCGCUCUUCUGUUCCCUGAAGGAAGGGAGCUGUGUUCUUGUUAUUGUGGAUAUCAUCAUCUCCAGCCUGCUGAUCUGAACAACUGAAUUCUUCCACUGCAAUUAGAGGUGCUCAC